Molecule: long non-coding RNA, 5510 nt
Filed under: Marmota monax (woodchuck)
Lineage: Eukaryota; Metazoa; Chordata; Mammalia; Rodentia; Sciuridae
Source: RNAcentral
UUGGUCGUUUUGGGCCAAGGAAGUUACGGAAAGUGGUGGAGUGAGAGCUGGCUGCCCAGAACACCUGUCAGGUUGUCCCUCGGCUGAUCAGAAAGCGGGUGGAGGGCGUGCCUUUCCUUUCUUAUUGGGCCUGAAGUAAAGCAGACUGCUGCCCCACCCCGACCCCGACCCCGCUGCCCGCCUCGUCCGCGUCUCAGCAAGUGGCCGCUCCACGGCUCCCUGCGCUCAAGCCAGCCCCCCUGGAAGGGUGUCACGGAGCGCACGGGCGGGUUGUCUAGCGAGUCCGAAGAGUGGGAUCCACGGACACGGGGUGUGAAGCAGCAAAGUGACGGGGUUCAUUGGAGUACAGGAAAGCAGAGCUCCCGAGAGGGUAGGGCCCCUAGACAGGGCUGCCCGCGGGUCGUUGUCGGGGGUUUCUGUUCGUUACUGAUGAGGAAAAGCCUUCUGGCGCAAUUGAAAGUGUAAGAUCCUGAUUUCUUAUUCCCAUAUGGAUGGGUUUAAUGUCUUUGCUCACCUCACUUUGUCCUGAACUUGUUCCUUAAAACAAAAGAACUGCUUGAGAUGAAAACAGCUCUUUGAGGUGGACUAAUGUGAGGGUCGUCAAGGAAAUCUGGGGUCACAAUAGAGUGUUGCGUGAUUAGGACUUUCCAGUCAGGAACCAAAAAUAAAUAAAUAAAAACCACCCUAUAGGGUUUCAGUCUGGGAUGGUGGGACCCCCUUCGAGGUCUGCAUUUCAAUCUUUCUCCUGCUGCGAAGGUAUAUUCUGACUUCUCAUUCUCACCCUUGUCCCCUCCUGUUGUUGCCUGUCUCUCAUACUUAGGUCAUCUUAUGAGAAGACACCAUCACAUGAUGGCGGUAGCCUGAAUUAGCUUCCUGGGACUGUCGUGUCACAGUGCUACAAACUGAGUGCCUUAAACAACAGAAGUUUAUUUUUCUAAAAUCUGGAGACCACAAUUCUAAAAUCAAGGUUUUGCAUAAUGAUGCUCUAUCUACAGUCUCCAGGGGAGGAAACUAUGCCUUUUCUAACUUCCCGUGGUGGCGGUCAUCUCUUGACGUUCCUUGCAGUGAAGCUGCAUCUCUCUAGUCUGUUUCGGUCACUAUGUGACAAUCUCCUUGUGUGUCUCUGUCCUCCCAUUGCGUUUUUCCUUUCUUGUAAGGAUACCAGUCCUGUUGCAUUUGGGCACACCCUAAUGACCUCAUCAUAAUUUGAUCAUCCAGAUUCCCCCUGCCAAAUAAGGUUAUAUUCACAAAAAUACUAGAGGUUAAGAUUUCAAAAUUUUGGGGGGAAGGCACAAUUCAACCCAUAACACCUGCUACAUUCCCUCCCUGAUUCCCUACAGUGACAGAUGAUAUUUUUUGUUUUGUUUGUGAUGCUGGGGAUGGAAUCCAGGGCCUUUCACAUGCUUAGUAGGCAUUUCUAUCACAGAGCUACAUCCCUAGCUCUAUAAUCCUUCCUAAAAGUCAGAUCAUUUCAGUCCUCUGCACAGAAUCCUCAAUUUCCUAUGUCACUCAGUAAAAUCCAAAGUUAGUUUGCUUCCAACCUCUAUAUGAUUGUCAUUCCCAAUCUCCUGCCAUUAUCCUUCUCACAACUGAAAGGAAAGCGAGGAAACAGGAGCAGGGCGAGUAAGAAAUGAAAGAGGGAGACCAGUCAGAGACACAUGAGACCAGUCAGACGACUGUUUAUUUCUGGUAGAAAGGUAUCUACCUCUCUCCGUUGUGUCCGGACCCCAAGUUCUGAAAAUACCCCCUCCAAACCCCUAAUCUCGACCCAUCCAGGAUUACACCCGUCACUUCCCAACCCAACCAUACUCCCUCGUCACUCGGAAAGAGUCUUUCCUGGAACCCCCACCCUUUCGUUUUGAAAAAAGAAUUUUACCGCCGACAGUUAAUUCUACCGACAGGUCCACGAUUUGUUCCUGGAAGAUCAAACCGGGUCACCUUUUCGAAAUAAAACAGGAUAUUAAUAUGAGAGUGUAUCAAUCUACUCCCAUUACUGUAACAGAAUGCCUGAGACUGGAUGGUUUUAAAGAACAAAAACUUAUUCCUUGCAGUUCUGGAGGCUGAAAAUCCAAGAUUGAGGCACCACUAGGUUUUGUGUCCUGAGAACCUGGUUUCUGCUACCGGGAUGAUGCUGUGCUCCUGUGUCCUCUGGAGGAGAGGAACCACCACGUCCUCAAACAGCAGAAGAGAUGGUGGGAAAUGGUGAGAUCACUCUUUGCAGCCUCCUUUAUAAGGGCGCUAACCCUACUGAGCCUUCAGGACUUAGCUGCCUGCUAUAGGCCCCCGCCUCUUAAUUCUGUCACAGUGUUGGUUAAGUUCAAGGUCUGAGCUUGGUUGGGCACAUUCAGGCCUUAGCAUCAUAUGACCACUACCAUAUCUGUGAUUUAGAACAUUUCCAGUUAAGCUCAAAAAACAUUUUUGAUGCUAUUGUAUUAUCUUUAAUUCAUAAUUAUUCAUUGCUAAUAUAUGGGAAUAACAUUGAUUUUUAUACAUUGACAUUGUAUCCUUUGACUAUGCUAAAAUUACAUUCUCUCUAGCAGAUUUUUUAGAUUACUUGGAUUUUCUAUGCAAAUGUUUGUGACAUCUACAAAUAAGAUGAUCUUAUUCCUUCAUUUCAAUGUGUAUGCCUUUUUUCUUUUUCUUGAAUUGUUGAACUGACUAGGACCUAAAGCACAGUGUUAAUAGUAAGUUGUGGGACUUGCCAACCUUGUAUUUCAAAGCAAAAUCCACUUGGUCAUAACAUAUUAUCCUUGUGUGUGUGCGUGUGUGUGUGUGUGUAUGUUUUAUUGAUUCAGUUUGGUAAAGUGUUAAGUUUUUAAUUAAUUAUUCAUUUACUUAUUUACUUUUGGCACUGAGGAUUGCACUCAGGGGCACUCAGCCACUGAGCCACAUCCAGCCCUUUUUUGUAUUUUAUUAAAGACUGGGUCUCACUGAGUUGCUUAGUGCCUCACCAUUGCUGAGGCUGGCUUUGAACUCAUGAUCGUCCUGCCUCAGCCUCCCAAGCCACUGGGAUUACAGGCAUACUCCACUGUGCCCGGCUGCAUUAAGAGUUUUUGUGUCUAGGAGCUAGGGAUGUGGCUCAAGCGGUAGCGCGCUCACCUAGCAUGCGUGCGGCCCGGGUUCGAUCCUCAAAGAUGUUGUGUCUGCCGAAAACUAAAAAAAAAUAAAUAUUAAAAAAUUCUCUCUCUCUCUCUCUCUCUCUCUCUCUCUCUCUUAAAAAAAGAGUUUUUGUGUCUAUGUUCAUGAGUGACAUUUGUCUACUUGUUUUCUUUUUCUUUUCUUUCUUUCUUUCUUUUCCCCCAUUGCUGGGUGUUAAACAGGGCCUUGCGCAUGCUAGAUAAGCUCUCCAUCCUGUAUUUUUUCUUAUAAUAUCUUUUUGUGGUUUUAAUAUCAUAUAAUGACUGCUCUUAUGAAUAAAAACUUGGAACAUUCCUCCUUUUUCUUUACCUAGGUUAGUUUGUGUAGAAUGGGAGUUAUUUUUCUCCCAAAAUGUUUGGGAACAUUUUAGGAAAAUGAAAUCAUCUGGGUAUGAAAUUUUCUUUCUGGGAAGAUUUUUAAACAAUGAAUUAUUAAUUAUUUAUUUUUUCUUUUUUUGAGAAUUUUUAAAAAUAUUUUAUUUUUUAGUUUUCAGCGGACACAACAUCUUUGUUUUUUGUUUUUUUGUAUGUGGUGCUGAGGAUCGAACCCAGGCCGCACGCAUGCCAGGCGAGCACACUACCGCUUGAGCCACAUCCCCAGCCCAUUAAUUAUUUCUUUUCUUUUCUUUUUCCUUUUCCUGGGAUUGAACCCAGAGGUGCUUAACCACUGAGCUACAUCCUUAACCCUUUUUAUUUUUUAUUUUGAGACAGGGUCUCACUGAGGCUGGCCUUAAACUUGGAAUCCUCCUGCCUCAGCCCCCAGAGUCUUUGGGAUUAUGGGUGUGCACCACCUUCCCAGCUCUAUUUCUUAAAUAAUUGUGAGGCUCUAAGCAACUUAGUGAGACCCUGAAUCAAAUUUGAAAAAAAUAAAAAGGGCUGAGUCUGUGGCUCAGUUGUAAAGUGCUUCUGGGUUCAAUCUCCAGUACCAAACAACCAAAAAAGUAAAAUAGGAAGUUGGCUUAGGAAUACCAGGAAGCACGUCCUCACAAGACUGCCCAUCUCCCCAAAUCUGGGGAGCAUCACAGGGCUGUCCAGCAGGGCUUUAGGCGAGCCUGCCUUGCCUGGGUGUCCUAGGAGCUUUGCUGAGGAUGUUCAGUACGGGCAAGUUGUUCCUGUGAAGUCCUGUCUGUCCAGCAGAGAGAUGGCUGCUGGUUUGUGCAUUCAGACUCGGUACCAGUGAACUGUAGUAGUGAGUUUGUUUCCUCUGCCCUCCAGCCUCUCCCUUGUACAUGCCUGUCCAAUACCCACUUGUGCAAACCUGCUCUUGAGAAAGUGUCACAUUAUGGGCCAGGCUAUAUGGGCAAUGACCAAACAGACUCCAUUUUACCCUGAGACUCCAUCAUAUAAGAAAUGCUUCUCCCGUGGGAAAGCCCCGCCUCUGUACCCAUUAAUAGUUACCUAGCAUAAAAUACUUGGCAACAGAAAAUAGUAAUUCUUAUACAAUGUAAAAUUGUUCUCUUGUUUCCAUUUUUCUUGGGCAGUGUACCUUGUGAGAGAUAGAUUGUCUAGUCCUUAGUAACCAUUCUCUAACUUUGUACCGAGCUAGGGUCAUUUUGACCCACUUCCCUUCUGCUGGCUUGCUGCUAUGCCAACCUGGAAAGUCCCAUGGGAAAUACCAAUGUACCCAUCGCAUUGUCUCGCUAUCUGCCCAGUUCAGCUUCUGUACCUGCUUGUUAGCAGCUGCAUCAACCCAGAUGUGGUUUUUGCCUUUAAAUAUCCUAAAAUGCUCAGGCUCAGAGCUGUUUCUUGCAGAGAAAGUUAUGGGUCCUGUGGGGAGUACUCACCAGCUGGCUGGCUAAAUAAAGACUCUUACAUUUGUACAAAACUGGGACUUGGUGUGUUUCUGAGCAACCUUCCCCACAACAUUGGCUACUUAAUGAAGAAGUAUUUUCAAUCAAAGCCACAACAUCUGGCAGAGUCAAGAGAUCACUGCAGAAAAGAUUUAAUGAUAGGAGGUCGAAGCUCUGCUCCACCACACAAACCCAUUUGUUAACUGUUCUUCCUCCCCAAUUAAAAAAAAAUCUCAUUUUAAAUUUCAUUGGAGAGUUCUUUUUUGUUGUCUUUUUUCAUUUCUUGAUCAAUUUGCCUCUAUUUUUCUGCCACUUCCUGUAUGUCAGAGAUCUCUCUUUGUACCCAUCUGUCCUAGCCUCAGCCCCUCUUUUUGCUCCUGCUGAUGCUAUGGCAACAAGAUGCUCACAGGCAUAUCCUAGCAUCCCAGGCCUCAGCUCCAACUCCUGGCUUUCUGGCCUUGGACUACCCUGCCGGUGGGAGGCACCUGUCGGUCUCUGCUCAGCCCCCAAGGUGCAUGAGCACUCACGGACGGGCAAGGGAGUUAUCAUCAUAGUGGGCAGCCAAGGUCAGGGAGUCUCUCCC